UUAACUCAAAUUUGUAUGGAGUUGGAAUGUUUACAUUCGUUUCCCGGUAGAGGCGUUAUUCCAACUGCAAACAAAUUAGAGUUA
Molecule: non-coding RNA, 84 nt
Organism: Bombyx mori (domestic silkworm)
Lineage: Eukaryota; Metazoa; Arthropoda; Insecta; Lepidoptera; Bombycidae
Source: Rfam